CUGCCUCCUAAAAAAGGUGGAACACCGCAGUUAGCAGAAACCAGAGCUGGCUCGACUAGGCUCUUGAAUCCAGUCAAAUUCAAAUAUCGGAUGAAAGCUGUGAGAUCUUACGUCGCUGAGGCCCAGGUCAUCCAGCAGCUGUCGAUCUCUCUCAUCUUCUCCUCCGGUGUGGACGAAGAGCUGCUCUAACGGAGCCGCUGCCAGAAGCACCACUCUCACCUGGGGAAAAAAAGCAAACACGGAUUAGACCUGGGAGUGUCUGACUUUUUAAUAGCUGUGACUUCUCUUGUCCCUGAUGAAUGUUUUCUGGAACUAGAAAAAAAAGUUACGUGACAAUACAUCAAGGACACGAGACAGCAAAACAUCUGAAGCGUCAGGAUGUCUUUCCAAAGAUCACUCGCCUUGAUUUGUUUAAGACGUGCAAAUUAAUGUGCUUAAAUGUUCAUGAGCAGUGUUAACCUUUUGGAGAGGCUGAAUUCCAGCAAUGCUUAACCAACUAUCCACCUCUGUGGCAGCCUGUUAAUAAUAUAUUCUUUGUGGCUUACUUUAAAUUCCUGUUCACUUUAGUCUUACAGAUGUAACCUGAAGCUCUUGUCUGUACCAUCUUUCAGACCUCUGUGUAAUUGCGACUGCACAGAGAGAGUUUUGCAAAUAUACAAGCGAUGAGGCAGAGGAAUGAGCCGACGGCAUCCUGUCAUUUCUCACUUUGUUCUCACAGCAUGAUAAACAUUUUAGUAUUUCUUUAGAGCAUUUGCUAUUAGGACCUUCGGUAAAAGUGCUGCAUGGUCAGACAUUAGAGGAAUGUUGGCCAACUCUCUGCGGGCAAACAUCUCUGGUUUAAUAAUCUUGGUGCAACUUGCCUUUUCAAAUCCCACCAGAGAUUCCCAGGUGACUCUGAUGAUCACUCUUGUAUCUUCCAGUAUUUCUCGCAAUGAUCAGGCCUCAACUUCAACAAAGACAGUUUGACAUUUUCCUCUUGAAUUUCCUCAGACCUGAUUGCUAGACGCAAUGCUCUGUUCUCAGUGUCCUUCUACAAUCAUAUGGAUGAUCCAAAUAACACAGAACAUGUCCUUGUUUUGAUUUAGCUGGAAGCAUAUUGAAGCAGACCUUCCCGUUUUUGGGUUGGUAGUGGUGUAUGCCCUGACCUGAAGCCCUUACUCUGGAAACUAAAAUCACAUUCAGGACCUUUCUUCUCUUUUUAAAUGUUUUUUUCUUGUUUGUCCCUGUAUUUUGAGGUUUUUGGACAAUGACAAUGAGCCACAUUUCUAACAUGUAAAGAAUCCUUACUGUCAACAGUCCA
Poecilia latipinna (sailfin molly) is the source of this 1300-nucleotide long non-coding RNA. RefSeq lists it as uncharacterized. The transcript is spliced from 2 exons. NCBI's taxonomy places the organism in Eukaryota, Metazoa, Chordata, Actinopteri, Cyprinodontiformes, Poeciliidae. The record is from RefSeq and is a predicted model, not a curated record.